Molecule: transfer RNA, 80 nt
Filed under: Pseudoflavonifractor capillosus ATCC 29799
Lineage: Bacteria; Bacillati; Bacillota; Clostridia; Eubacteriales; Oscillospiraceae
Also listed under: 1 other name
Rfam family: tRNA
About the family: Transfer RNA (tRNA) molecules are approximately 80 nucleotides in length. Their secondary structure includes four short double-helical elements and three loops (D, anti-codon, and T loops). Further hydrogen bonds mediate the characteristic L-shaped molecular structure. tRNAs have two regions of fundamental functional importance: the anti-codon, which is responsible for specific mRNA codon recognition, and the 3' end, to which the tRNAs corresponding amino acid is attached (by aminoacyl-tRNA synthetases). tRNAs cope with the degeneracy of the genetic code in two manners: having more than one tRNA (with a specific anti-codon) for a particular amino acid; and 'wobble' base-pairing, i.e. permitting non-standard base-pairing at the 3rd anti-codon position.
Source: Rfam by way of RNAcentral
GCGGGUAUGGCGGAAUUGGCAGACGCGCUGGAUUUAGGUUCCAGUGGGCAACCGUGUGGGUUCAAAUCCCACUACCCGUA